GGAGAGGUGGCCGAGUGGCUGAAGGCAACGGUUUGCUAAACCGUCAUAGUGUGUAAACGCUAUCGGGGGUUAGAAUCCCCCCCUCUCCG
RNAcentral lists this transfer RNA (89 nucleotides) under Bacteroidota bacterium. RNAcentral's name for it is "tRNA-Ser". It matches the Rfam family "tRNA". From Rfam's summary of the family: Transfer RNA (tRNA) molecules are approximately 80 nucleotides in length. Their secondary structure includes four short double-helical elements and three loops (D, anti-codon, and T loops). Lineage: Bacteria; Pseudomonadati; Bacteroidota. The record is from RNAcentral.